UGGGGAAUUUUGGACAAUGGGCGAAAGCCUGAUCCAGCAAUGCCGCGUGUGUGAAGAAGGCCUUCGGGUUGUAAAGCACUUUUUGUCCGGAAAGAAAUCCUUGGCUCUAAGUACAGUCGGGGGAUGACGGUACCGGAAGAAUAAGCACCGGCUAACUACGUGCCAGCAGCCGCGGUAAUACGUAGGGUGCAAGCGUUAAUCGGAAUUACUGGGCGUAAAGCGUGCGCAGGCGGUUUUGCUAAGACCGAUGUGAAAUCCCCGGGCAUCAACCUGGGAACUGCAUUGGUGACUGGCAGGCUAGAGUAUGGCAGAGGGGGGUAGAAUUCCACGUGUAGCAGUGAAAUGCGUAGAGAUGUGGAGGAAUACCGAUGGCGAAAGGCAGCCCCCUGGGCCAAAUACUGACGCUCAUGCACGAAAAGCGUGGGGGGAGCAAAACAGGAUUAGAUACCCCUGGGUAGUCCACGCCCCUAAAACGAUGUCAACUAGGUUGUUGGGGAUUCAUUUCCUUAGUAACGUAGCU
RNAcentral lists this ribosomal RNA (520 nucleotides) under uncultured bacterium. Its description in RNAcentral is "partial 16S ribosomal RNA". It matches the Rfam family "Bacterial small subunit ribosomal RNA", at positions 355 to 853 of the family's 1533-position model. The record is from RNAcentral.